UGACCGAUAGCGAACCAGUACCGUGAGGGAAAGGUGAAAAGUACCCCGACAAGGGGAGUGAAAUAGUACCUGAAACCGAAUGCCUACAAACAGUCGGAGCCCAAGAUACGUUCUGGGUGACGGCGUACCUUUUGUAUAAUGGGUCAGCGACUUAGUCUAACGAGCAAGCUUAAGCCGGUAGGUGUAGGCGUAGCGAAAGCGAGUCUGAAUAGGGCGUUUAGUUCGUUGGAUUAGACCCGAAACCGAGUGAUCUAGCCAUGAGCAGGCUGAAGGUAAGGUAACACUUACUGAAGGGCCGAACCCGUAUCUGUUGCAAUAGAUUGGGAUGACUUGUGGCUAGGGGUGAAAGGCCAAUCAAACUCGGAAAUAGCUGGUUCUCCGCGAAAUCUAUUUAGGUAGAGCGUUAGUCGAAUUCUCCAGGGGGUAGAGCACUGGAUGGGCUAGGGGUCCUCACCGGAUUACCAAACCUAACCAAACUCCGAAUACCUGGAAGAACUAACUAGCAGACACACGGCGGGUGCUAACGUCCGUCGUGGAGAGGGAAACAACCCUGACCACCAUCUAAGGUCCCCAAGUUAUGGCUAAGUGGGAAAGGAUGUGAGGAUCCCAAAACAACCAGGAUGUUGGCUUAGAAGCAGCCACCAUUUAGAGAAAGCGUAACAGCUCACUGGUCUAAAUAAGGGUCCCUGCGCCGAAAAUGUAACGGGGCUAAAGCCAUACACCGAAGCUGUGGAUUUACUCCUUAUGGAGUAAGUGGUAGCGGAGCGUUCCGUAAGCCUGUGAAGGGAGACUCGUGAGAGCUCCUGGAGGUAUCGGAAGUGAGAAUGCUGACAUGAGUAACGAUAAAGGGAGUGAGAGACUCCCUCGCCGAAAGUCCAAGGGUUCCUGCUUAAAGUUAAUCUGAGCAGGGUGAGUCGG
This 918-nucleotide ribosomal RNA is filed under the name Bartonella sp. J2-KG. RNAcentral describes it as "bacterial LSU rRNA". It matches the Rfam family "Bacterial large subunit ribosomal RNA", at positions 481 to 1387 of the family's 2925-position model. The record is from RNAcentral. Lineage: Bacteria; Pseudomonadati; Pseudomonadota; Alphaproteobacteria; Hyphomicrobiales; Bartonellaceae.